Molecule: ribosomal RNA, 164 nt
Filed under: uncultured bacterium
Lineage: Bacteria
Description: partial 16S rRNA
Rfam family: Bacterial small subunit ribosomal RNA
Source: RNAcentral
UAGGGAAUCUUCCACAAUGGACGCAAGUCUGAUGGAGCAACGCCGCGUGAGUGAAGAAGAUCUUCGGAUCGUAAAACUCUGUUGUUAGAGAAGAACACAAGUGAGAGUAACUGUUCAUUCGAUGACGGUAUCUAACCAGCAAGUCACGGCUAACUACGUGCCCG